UACAGGGGGUGCAAACGUUGCUCGGAAUUAUUGGGCGUAAAGCGCACGUAGGCGGUUCGUUAUGUCGGAUGUGAAAGCCCUUGGCUCAACUGAGGAAGUGCAUCCGAAACUGGCGAGCUAGAGUAUGUAAGAGGGUCGCGGAAUUCCCGGUGUAGCGGUGAAAUGCGUAGAGAUCGGGAGGAACACCAGAGGCGAAGGCGGCGACCUGGACAAGUACUGACACUCAACUACGAAAGCGUGGGGAGCAAACAGG
Molecule: ribosomal RNA, 253 nt
Filed under: uncultured bacterium
Lineage: Bacteria
Description: partial 16S ribosomal RNA
Rfam family: Bacterial small subunit ribosomal RNA
Source: RNAcentral